CCUAUUUUCGUUGGUUUACAGUACUUCAGUAAUGAUGAAUAGAAACGGUUAGGGGCAUUUGUAUUUGGUCGCUAGAGGUGAAAUUCUUGGAUUG
Molecule: ribosomal RNA, 94 nt
Filed under: Rhizopus arrhizus
Lineage: Eukaryota; Fungi; Mucoromycota; Mucoromycetes; Mucorales; Rhizopodaceae
Description: Rhizopus oryzae partial small subunit ribosomal RNA
Source: RNAcentral